ACAUUGAAAGACCAGUUCCCAUACAAUCACCAAAGUUAAGCAACAUCAAGCCUGGUCAAUACCUAGAUGGAUGACCAUUUGGGAACACCAGGUGCUGUAAG
This is a non-coding RNA of Acanthosepion pharaonis, 101 nucleotides long. The record is from the annotation of a GenBank genome assembly. NCBI's taxonomy places the organism in Eukaryota, Metazoa, Mollusca, Cephalopoda, Sepiida, Sepiidae.